GGGCCCAUAGCUCAGUUGGUAGAGCGCCUCAAUGGCAUUGAGGAGGCCAACGGUUCAAAUCCGUUUGGGUCCA
RNAcentral lists this transfer RNA (73 nucleotides) under Patescibacteria group bacterium. Its description in RNAcentral is "tRNA-Ala". It matches the Rfam family "tRNA". From Rfam's summary of the family: Transfer RNA (tRNA) molecules are approximately 80 nucleotides in length. Their secondary structure includes four short double-helical elements and three loops (D, anti-codon, and T loops). Further hydrogen bonds mediate the characteristic L-shaped molecular structure. tRNAs have two regions of fundamental functional importance: the anti-codon, which is responsible for specific mRNA codon recognition, and the 3' end, to which the tRNAs corresponding amino acid is attached (by aminoacyl-tRNA synthetases). tRNAs cope with the degeneracy of the genetic code in two manners: having more than one tRNA (with a specific anti-codon) for a particular amino acid; and 'wobble' base-pairing, i.e. permitting non-standard base-pairing at the 3rd anti-codon position. The record is from RNAcentral.